AAGUGUUGGACAGGUCAUUUCCUGUCCCCAGAGGCAGGAUGGUCACCCUUGGCAUAAACUGGUCCUGGCCCUGACACAGGAGAGUAUAAGAGCAGCAGAGACAGUCCCAUCUGACCUUCAGCUUCAUAGUAUCGAUGGCAUCCAGCACCCAGCCCACUGUGCCGUCGCCCCCACACACCAGCACCCGGACACUGCCGGGGGGCAGCAGGGUGCACAGCUGGAGGGCUUUGGAGGGAGUCAGCUCAGACAGGUCAAACACCUGAAGGAGAGGAGGGAGAUAAGACAGGUUUAAAUCAUGUUUUGUGCAGAAAUUGAAAAGGUCCCAUAUUGUAAAAAAGUGAGAAUUCCAUCUACUUUUUGAUUAUAAAGCAGGUUGAUGUGUUAUAUA
This is a long non-coding RNA of Sander lucioperca (pikeperch), 388 nucleotides long. RefSeq lists it as uncharacterized. Lineage: Eukaryota; Metazoa; Chordata; Actinopteri; Perciformes; Percidae. The transcript has 2 exons. The record is from RefSeq and is a predicted model, not a curated record.